GAUGAACGCUGGCGGCGUGCCUAAUACAUGCAAGUCGAGCGAACGGACGCGAAGCUUGCUUCUCUGAUGUUAGCGGCGGACGGGUGAGUAACACGUGGAUCACCUACCUAUAAGACUGGGAUAACUUCGGGACACCGGCGCUAAUACCGGAUAAUAUUUUGAACCGCAUGGUUCAAUAGUGAAAUACGGUCUUGCUGUAUCUUAUAGAUGGAUCCGCGCUGCAUUAGCUAGUUGGUAAGUUAAAGGCUUACCAAGGCUACGAUGCAUAGCCGACGUGAGAGAGUGAUCGGCCACACUGGAACGUGGACACGGACCAUAGUCCUACGGGAGGCAGCAGUAGGGAAUCUUCGGCAGUAGGCGGAAGCAUGGCGGAGCAACGGCGCGUAAGAGAUGAAGAUCUUCGGAUCGUAAAACUCUGUUAUUAGUGAAGAACAUAUGUGUAAGUAACUGUGCACAGCGUGACGGUACUUAGUCAGAAAGCCACGGCUAACUACGUG
RNAcentral lists this ribosomal RNA (497 nucleotides) under uncultured bacterium. Its description in RNAcentral is "partial 16S ribosomal RNA". It matches the Rfam family "Bacterial small subunit ribosomal RNA", at positions 28 to 507 of the family's 1533-position model. The record is from RNAcentral.